RNAcentral lists this unclassified non-coding RNA (331 nucleotides) under soil metagenome. RNAcentral describes it as "partial contains 5.8S ribosomal RNA, internal transcribed spacer 2, and large subunit ribosomal RNA". The stretch from base 1 to 120 matches the Rfam family "5.8S ribosomal RNA", at positions 35 to 154 of the family's 154-position model. The record is from RNAcentral.
GAUGAAGAACGUAGCGAAAUGCGAUAAGUAAUGUGAAUUGCAGAAUUCAGUGAAUCAUCGAAUCUUUGAACGCACAUUGCGCCCCCUGGUAUUCCGGGGGGCAUGCCUGUUCGAGCGUCAUUUCACCACUCAAGCCUCGCUUGGUAUUGAGCAACGCGGUCCGCCGCGUGCCUCAAAUCGACCGGCUGGGACUUCUGUCCCCUAAGCGUUGUGGAAACUAUUCGCUAAAGGGUGUUCGGGAGGCUACGCCGUAAAACAACCCCAUUUCUAAGGUUGACCUCGGAUCAGGUAGGGAUACCCGCUGAACUUAAGCAUAUCAAUAAGCGGAGGA